GCGCCUGUAGCUCAGGGGAUAGAGCAGUGGACUUCUAAUCCACUGGCCGGGGGUUCGAAUCCUCCCAGGCGCACCA
RNAcentral lists this transfer RNA (76 nucleotides) under Acetomicrobium sp. Its description in RNAcentral is "tRNA-Arg". It matches the Rfam family "tRNA". From Rfam's summary of the family: Transfer RNA (tRNA) molecules are approximately 80 nucleotides in length. Their secondary structure includes four short double-helical elements and three loops (D, anti-codon, and T loops). Lineage: Bacteria; Thermotogati; Synergistota; Synergistia; Synergistales; Acetomicrobiaceae. RNAcentral also lists the same sequence under 3 other names. The record is from RNAcentral.